UUUGGCGAACUGAUUCAAGGUGUGUGUAUGUUAUCUGAGUAGAUCAGCGUUACCUACGACAACUGAAAGACACGAGGUGAACCAUUUAUCACUUUAUAUCAUUCUGAUCGGCUUGCAUGUUUCGCUCCUCUUUAGAUCUAAUAACUAACUUCUGUUGGAUUGGAGUUUGAUACAAUGGUUCUUCUAAAUUCUGACAACCUUUGGAUCUCGAAUGGUUUGGUGAAAGUUAUAUUGGGUUUAUAAUCCUCAACUCAAGAAAGGCGUCAUAUAAGGCUAUUUAGUCGAGUUAAACUUCCGGCGACCAUACAUAGAGUUGCACGCCUGUUGUUUGGUUUUGCUAUCAACUGAGACUUUGGAGAAUAUCCACUAGCAAUCUCAAGUAAAAGCAAAGAAUUCAGAGACAGAGAGAGUGAAACCGCUAGAGAGAGACACGACGCUGACGGGAGCGGGUGCCAGGCAUGGCCUCCGGCCGGCCACUUUAUCUUGAGGACUCCGGUGGUCUUGCUUGUGUGCGUCGGAGUGUCGAUCAGAGAGAGAGAGAGAGAUAACGAUGGGAGUGGGUGCUGGCCAGCGACCGGUGAUGCUGCUUGUGGAUCCCGUCAUAGGUAACGGUGGUGCGUUUGGAGAUUUCACAGCGACCGAUGAUGGUGGUGUGGUUUCACGGCGGAGAAGAUGAGUGGACUCGGUUGCUUGCUUGGGCGGGCAGACAUGGUAGAAGAGGGGCUGUUGGUGGGUAGGGGCGGCGACAAUCGUCAGUUUUGGUGUCGUAGGAUUAUCGUGGUGCAGUCAUCCCUAUCAUUCCUCCUGUUUAUUUUCACUUCAGUCUCCGUCGUUUUCACCAGGUCCAAAAUUUGGUUGAAUACUGUUGAUCCUGUUAUGUUGGCCCAUGGAUUGCAGCUUCAGUUUAAUAUUUCACCAAACUGGAUGAUACGAUAGAGUUUUGUUUCGUGGAAAGAACCAAGCAUGAAUUGAAUGAAGCGAUGGAAUAAUCUUCGUUUAUCUAAUUUUUGUAUAUAGCGAUAUACUAGGUUGUAUACAUAAAACACAGACACGCUUUGGGUGAAUUCGACCUAUUUCACGAGUUUGACCCAUGAGUCCCAUUUUUUAGUUAAAAACGUAUUUUAAUAUUAAUUCAUCUAACAUUCAUUCUUCUAAAUGGAAGAUCCAAGUAUAUGGAUCCUUGAUCACAACUAUCAUGAAGCCAUGUUCACCAUCCAUGGCAUGUGAUGAAACCAUCUCUGAACUAGACAUGCUUGGCAAGGAUUCUUGCAAAGAUGUACUAACAUGGUGCAUCGCUAUCACUGCUUGGGUCAUCAAUGUUUUGUUUAAUGCCCAACCACCAUCAAGAGUGCAACGAGUAUACUUUUGGUUAUCAGAUGUAAUUGGAGUAUAUUUUUGGAUAUUACAAUUAUAUGAGUUUGCAGUUUGAUGUUGA
Helianthus annuus (common sunflower) is the source of this 1435-nucleotide long non-coding RNA. RefSeq lists it as uncharacterized. The transcript is spliced from 6 exons. Lineage: Eukaryota; Viridiplantae; Streptophyta; Magnoliopsida; Asterales; Asteraceae. The record is from RefSeq and is a predicted model, not a curated record.